CAACUUUUUUGUCCUUUCGCCUAUCGGCUGCCCGAAGGGCCGAUAUUGGCGAAAGAUCUGGCUGUCGAAUACAAAUAUUUGAGCAACACUUCGGAAUGGUUUUACAUUGCCCGCAAGAAUGCCGAACGCGUGAUUCGAAACCACAAUCAGUUUAGACGAGGCUACAACACUUACACAUACAACGACACAGCACACACAGAACGAGAGCCAGACGAAAUUCUGUCGGUCACAUAUGAAGACGGCAAGUGGUCGAAACCCUACUACGACUGCGGCGGUGGUAACAUCUGGAUGCUCACCUACACUGUACCGUUUUUCGGUUACAAUAAUGGCACCUACU
This 337-nucleotide unclassified non-coding RNA is filed under the name Melitaea cinxia (Glanville fritillary). RNAcentral describes it as "misc RNA ENSMCXG00005010321.1". The record is from RNAcentral. Lineage: Eukaryota; Metazoa; Arthropoda; Insecta; Lepidoptera; Nymphalidae.